This 1481-nucleotide long non-coding RNA is filed under the name Equus caballus (horse). RNAcentral's name for it is "lncRNA (ENSECAG00000051621.1)". The record is from RNAcentral. Lineage: Eukaryota; Metazoa; Chordata; Mammalia; Perissodactyla; Equidae.
CAUUUUCCAGGAAUGUGGAUGUGGUUCCCAGGCACUGGAUGCAGUGUACCUAAAGGUUUAUGCAGUAUCUUGUGAUGGAGGAUGCAGUGCCAAUUCAGCUGGAUGCAGUGUUACUGCAGUGGUUGCAGAGCCAACAACAGUGUCCUUUAACGUGGAUGCAGUGACCAUGCAGUGGAUGCAGUGUUCCACAAUGUGCAUGAAGUAUGAUGUGACAGGGGAUGCAGUGCCCAUGAAGGUGGAUGCAGUGAUCCUGCAGUGGUUGAAGUGCCCCCUGCAGUUUACCUGCAUGUGGAUGCAGUGGUCAUGCAGUUCAUUCAGUGUCCCUCAAGAUGGAUGCCUUAUGUUGUGAUGGAGGUUUCAGUGAUCAUGAAUGAUGAUGCAGUGAUCCUGCAGUCAUUGCAGUGGCCCUACAGUGCGACUUCUCCUGGCUGCCAUGUCCCUCCAGUGCUUGCAGUGCCCAGUUCUGUGUCCCUGAGUGUGGAUGUAGUGCCCAUGCAGUGGAUGCAGAGUACUAAAAGUUGGUUGCCGUAUGAUGUGACAGAGGAUGCAGUGCCCACGAGUUGGAUGCAGUGAGCUGGCAGUGAUUGCUGUACGACUUCAGUGCCACUUCAGCUGGAUGCCGUGUCCCUACAGUGGUUGUGAUGCUGCCUGCAUUGACCUGGAAUGUGGAUGCAGUGCUCAUGCAGUGGAUGCAGGUUUCCACAAUGAGGAGACAUUGUGGUGUGUUGUAGUAUGCAGUGACGAUGAAGGUGAAAGCAGUGAUCCUGGAGUGAAGGCAGUGCACCUGCUGUGGCACUUCAGCUGGAUGCAGUAUUGCUGCAGUGGUUGCAGUGACCCCUGCAUUGUCUGGGAAUGUGACUGGAGUGCCCAGUCAGUGGAUGCAGUGUCCCACAAGGUCUAUGCAGUAUGUUAUGACGGAUGAUGCAGUUCUCAUGAAUGUGGAUGCAGUGUCCCUGCAGUGCUUGCUGUGCCACUCGCAUUGUCCAGGAAUGUGGAUGCAGUAGUAUUGCAAUGGAUGCAGUGUCACACAAGGUGGAUGCCGUAUUUUGUGAUGGAGGAUGCAGGGGCCAUGAAGGUGGAUGCAGUGAUCUGGCACGGAUUGCACUGCACACUGCUGUGACCCUGAAUGUGGAUGCUGUGAACAUGCAGUGGAUGCAGUGAUCCUGCAGUGAUUGCAGUGCACCUGCAUUUCCACAUCAGCUGGAAGCAGUGUCCCUGCAGUGGUUGCAGUGCCACCUUCUGUGUUCCUGAACGUGAAUGCAGUGCCCAUGCAGUGGAGGCAGUGUACCUAAAGAUUUAUGCAGUAUGUUGUGACGGAGGAUGCAGUGUGCAUGAAGGCGGAUGCAGUGUCCCUGCAGUGGUUGCAGGGUCCCCAGCAUUGUGCUGGAAUGUGGAUGCAGGGAUGAUGCAGUGGAUGCAGUUUCUCACAAGGUGGAUGCAGUAUGUUUAGUCAGAGGAUGCAGUGCCCAUGAAGGUGGAUG